Molecule: non-coding RNA, 95 nt
Organism: Paramuricea clavata
Lineage: Eukaryota; Metazoa; Cnidaria; Anthozoa; Malacalcyonacea; Plexauridae
Source: the annotation of a GenBank genome assembly
UGAUAUUUCAGAACAGAAUCUAGUUCCUUCGAUACCAAUGUAAUCUAAUAAUAUGAAGGUAUCGAAGGAACUAGAUUCUGUUCCGAAAUAUCACU